GACGAACGCUGGCGGCGUGCUUAACACAUGCAAGUCGAACGAAGAGCGAUGGAAGCUUGCUUCUAUCAAUCUUGGUGGCGAACGGGUGAGUAACGCGUAAUCAACCUGCCCUUCAGAGGGGGACAACAGUUGGAAACGACUGCUAAUACCGCAUACGAUCCAAUCUCGGCAUCGGGACUGGAUGAAAGGUGGCCUCUAUUUAUAAGCUAUCACUGAAGGAGGGGAUUGCGUCUGAUUAGCUAGUUGGAGGGGUAACGGCCCACCAAGGCGAUGAUCAGUAGCCGGUCUGAGAGGAUGAACGGCCACAUUGGGACUGAGACACGGCCCAGACUCCUACGGGAGGCAGCAGUGGGGAAUCUUCCGCAAGGGACGAAAGUCUGACGGAGCAACGCCGCGUGAGUGAUGACGGCCUUCGGGUUGUAAAGCUCUGUUAAUCGGGACGAAUGGUUCUUGUGCGAAUAGUGCGAGGAUUUGACGGUACCGGAAUAGAAAGCCACGGCUAACUACGUG
RNAcentral lists this ribosomal RNA (510 nucleotides) under uncultured bacterium. Its description in RNAcentral is "partial 16S ribosomal RNA". It matches the Rfam family "Bacterial small subunit ribosomal RNA", at positions 28 to 507 of the family's 1533-position model. The record is from RNAcentral.